GGGAUAUCUUAUUAUCUUUAUUAUGCAUCAAUACGUUGGAAGAUGAAUACAAACAACAUGAAUCUUCCUUUUUAUUUAUUGUAAUGAAUAGUGAUCAAAUGACCUAAAUGAUGAUAUUUGCUUGAAUAUAUUCAAGAAUAGCUGUUAAGAUCUGAUGGAUUCACCCAUUCUUGUCUCUGAAGUUUGGUAACUAAAUCCUUGUCAAAAUGGAAUGCUCUUGUUAGAACAUCAGGACUAAUGGAUGGGCUAGCUCCAAAAACUGUAUUUGCUGUUGUCACAACUCCUGGAUUUUGACUGUUGAAUGCUGCUAUGGCAACUGCAGGAUUUUUUCCAACAUUCAACUGGAAGUGAAUGAGCCCAAAUGGAAAUACAAAAACAUCUCCGGCUUUGAGAACUUUAGCAAAAACACGAUGAUCAGGAUUGGAUGUGAUAAAACCAGCAUACAAGGUUCCUUCCAAGACAGUUAAGAUCUCUGAAGCUCGAGGGUGAUGGUGGGGUGGGUUUAGUCCACCAUUUGCUUCAUAAUAGAUACGAUCAAUGGAUAGGCCAUUAGUAUUAAGUCCUGGUAUCGAAUCCACAGUCAAUAGGUUGGUAUGUGCUCCAAGUUGUUUGGAAGUUUCGCUGGCAAUAUUAAGCCCAGAAUAGAAGAAAUCAUCAGCUGUGACAUGGUCUGGGUCUUUGCAAAAUUUUCCAUUCACGAACAAUCCAGAGCUAGCAUCAUCAGUUGCCACACAGAAGUCCUGGAGAGGGCUAGGGUCAUAAGCAAUGGCAAAUGAGGAAGCCAAAGCCAAGAAAGCAAGAGCUACGAGGAAAUUAGAAACUUUCAUUAUGUUUGCUGGGAAGCUUAGAAUUCUUAGAUGAGUUUUGUUUUUG
RNAcentral lists this unclassified non-coding RNA (873 nucleotides) under Hevea brasiliensis (rubber tree). The record is from RNAcentral. Lineage: Eukaryota; Viridiplantae; Streptophyta; Magnoliopsida; Malpighiales; Euphorbiaceae.